CCUACGGGGGGCAGCAGUAGGGAAUCUUUCACAAUGGGCGAAAGCCUGAUGGAGCAACGCCGCGUGCAGGAUGAAGGCCUUCGGGUUGUAAACUGCUUUUAUAAGCGAGAAAUAUGACGGUAACUUAUGAAUAAGGAUCGGCUAAAUACGUGCCAGCAGCCGCGGUCAUACGUAGGAUCCGAGAAUUAUCCGGAGUGACUGGGUGUAAAGAGUUGCGUAGGUGGGAUAAUAAGUAGCUAGUGAAAUCUGGUGGCUCAACCAUUCAGACUAUUAGCUAAACUGUUAAGCUCGAGACCGUUAGGGGUAACUGGAAUUUCUAGUGUAGGAGUGAAAUGCGUAGAUAUUAGAAGGAACACCAAUAGCGUAGGCAGGUUACUGGGACGGUUCUGACACUGAGGCACGAAAGCGUAGGGAGCAAACAGGAUUAGAUACCCCGGUAGUC
Molecule: ribosomal RNA, 442 nt
Filed under: uncultured bacterium
Lineage: Bacteria
Description: partial 16S ribosomal RNA
Rfam family: Bacterial small subunit ribosomal RNA
Source: RNAcentral